Molecule: ribosomal RNA, 253 nt
Filed under: uncultured bacterium
Lineage: Bacteria
Description: partial 16S ribosomal RNA
Rfam family: Bacterial small subunit ribosomal RNA
Source: RNAcentral
UACGUAGGGUGCGAGCGUUAAUCGGAAUUACUGGGCGUAAAGCGUGCGCAGGCGGUUGUGUAAGACAGAUGUGAAAUCCCCGGGCUCAACCUGGGAACUGCAUUUGUGACUGCACAGCUGGAGUGCGGCAGAGGGGGAUGGAAUUCCGCGUGUAGCAGUGAAAUGCGUAGAUAUGCGGAGGAACACCGAUGGCGAAGGCAAUCCCCUGGGCCUGCACUGACGCUCAUGCACGAAAGCGUGGGGAGCAAACAGG